Podarcis lilfordi (Lilford's wall lizard) is the source of this 91-nucleotide non-coding RNA. The record is from the annotation of a GenBank genome assembly. NCBI's taxonomy places the organism in Eukaryota, Metazoa, Chordata, Lepidosauria, Squamata, Lacertidae.
GUUUCUGGGAUAGCCAUGCCAAGCCUCUUCAGGGCAGGGGGAGCAUUCCUCCCAUUGCCCUGAAGAGGCUUUGCGUGGCUAUCCCUGAAGC